This is a non-coding RNA of Myotis davidii, 102 nucleotides long. Lineage: Eukaryota; Metazoa; Chordata; Mammalia; Chiroptera; Vespertilionidae. The record is from Rfam.
UUAGGUGCUCACAAAUAUACUAAAAUUGGAAUAAUACAGAGAAGAUUAGCGUGGCCCCUGUGCAAGGAUGGCACACAAAUUUGUAAAGCAUUCCAUAUUAAA